RNAcentral lists this ribosomal RNA (566 nucleotides) under Amycolatopsis sp. 331F05. RNAcentral describes it as "bacterial SSU rRNA". It matches the Rfam family "Bacterial small subunit ribosomal RNA", at positions 93 to 671 of the family's 1533-position model. Lineage: Bacteria; Bacillati; Actinomycetota; Actinomycetes; Pseudonocardiales; Pseudonocardiaceae. The record is from RNAcentral.
GAGUGGCGAACGGGUGAGUAACACGUGGGUAAUCUGCCCUGCACUCUGGGAUAAGCCUUGGAAACGGGGUCUAAUACCGGAUAUCACNNCAUUUAGCGCAUGNGGGGUNGUUGAAAGUUCUGGCGGUGCAGGAUGAACCCGCGGCCUAUCAGCUUGUUGGUGGGGUAAUGGCCUACCAAGGCGACGACGGGUAGCCGGCCUGAGAGGGUGACCGGCCACACUGGGACUGAGACACGGCCCAGACUCCUACGGGAGGCAGCAGUGGGGAAUAUUGCACAAUGGGCGCAAGCCUGAUGCAGCGACGCCGCGUGAGGGAUGACGGCCUUCGGGUUGUAAACCUCUUUCGCCAGGGACGAAGCGCAAGUGACGGUACCUGGAUAAGAAGCACCGGCUAACUACGUGCCAGCAGCCGCGGUAAUACGUAGGGUGCGAGCGUUGUCCGGAAUUAUUGGGCGUAAAGAGCUCGUAGGCGGUUUGUCGCGUCGGCCGUGAAAUCUCCACGCUUAACGUGGAGCGUGCGGUCGAUACGGGCAGACUUGAGUUCGGUAGGGGAGACUGGAAUUCCU